UUGUAUGUUAAUUGCAUAUUAUAUAAGAAGAAUAUAUUGUUCAUGUAGCCUCAUUAUCUAAUGUUCCAUGUGUUUUUAUAAUCCUAUUGCUCAUUUAACAUUAGUACAUGAAUUUUAGUCAAAGUAUUUUUGCAUAAUCUCCAUAAGAAUAUAUAUAAGGAGAUAAUAUAGUAAUUUUUUUAUACAUACACAAAUUAUAAUCUUUGUAUUCAUACUAUUUCUCUACAUAUAUAAAUGUAUUUAUGUAUGUAUGUAUUUUUUUUUUUUUUUUUUUUCUCUUUUUUUUAUUCAACUUUUAUUUUAUUAAUUUAGUGUUCUAUUCAUUUUUAUUUUCCUUGUUAUUUUUGUUUUCUUGCUUAGGACACAUACAUAUUGAAAAGCAAAAUUUUCAUCAUUUGCUUUGAGAUAUAUAUAAUUGCGUCCACAUGUAUAUUUGUUAAUGGAAAACUUUUUUUUUUUUUUUUUUUUUAUGCACAUAUUUUUUUAUACUCCCUAUAUAAUAUAUGUGAAUUAUCCAUAUAUCAGUUUUUCUAUUCAUAUAAUAUGCAUGUGUAAUUGCAUAGGGGGGAUUCUACAUCUUCUUAUUUAAUAUUUAAAUAUUUAUAUUAUAAUAUGUUUCAUUUCUUAUUCUUUUAUAAUUUUUUAGAUUUAUCUGUUUUUUUUUUUCUUUUUUUUUUUAUUUAUGAUAUACUCAAGAAUACAUUACUUUAUAGAUUUUAAUUCAUCUAUUAUUUCUUAUGUAUAUAUCAUCUGAGGUUUUAUAAUAUAUAUAUAUAUAUAUAUAUAUAUAACAUGCAUAUUUAUUUAUACAUAUAUACUUAUAUAUUUAUAUACAUAUAAUAUGUAUAUAGAUAUAGAUAUAGAGUAAUAGAAAAAACAUUUAUAAUUUAAUGUAUAUGCAUUUUAAAAUAUUGGACGAGUAUGCAUGAUAUUGAUAAACAUUUAUUUAUUUUUAUUUAUUUAAUUCUAGAUGUAUUUUUGUUGCACUUCAUAUAUGUAUAUCUCGGUCUUAUUUUGAUUUUAUUUAUUUACAUUAAACAUAAGAGUGCAUUUAUGUGAGGCACCAUUUGUUAUAGUUUUAUUUAAAUUAUUUUUAUAUUAAAUUAUAUUUUUUAAAGAGUAUAUAUAUUUACACCGUUGUACAAGAAUUAAGAACUAAUUAUAUACCAAGCAAAAGAAAAGGAGUAUAACA
This 1192-nucleotide small RNA is filed under the name Plasmodium reichenowi. The record is from RNAcentral. Lineage: Eukaryota; Apicomplexa; Aconoidasida; Haemosporida; Plasmodiidae.